This 500-nucleotide ribosomal RNA is filed under the name uncultured bacterium. RNAcentral's name for it is "partial 16S ribosomal RNA". It matches the Rfam family "Bacterial small subunit ribosomal RNA", at positions 30 to 523 of the family's 1533-position model. The record is from RNAcentral.
AUUGAACGCUGGCGGCAGGCCCAACACAUGCAAGUCGAGCGGAUGACGGGAGCUUGCUCCUUGAUUCAGCGGCGGACGGGUGAGUAAUGCCUAGGAAUCUGCCUGGUAGUGGGGGACAACGUUUCGAAAGGAACGCUAAUACCGCAUACGUCCUACGGGAGAAAGCAGGGGACCUUCGGGCCUUGCGCUAUCAGAUGAGCCUAGGUCGGAUUAGCUAGUUGGUGGGGUAAUGGCUCAACAAGGCGACGAUCCGUAACUGGUCUGAGAGGAUGAUCAGUCACACUGGAACUGAGACACGGUCCAGACUCCUACGGGAGGCAGCAGUGGGGAAUAUUGGACAAUGGGCGAAAGCCUGAUCCAGCCAUGCCGCGUGUGUGAAGAAGGUCUUCGGAUUGUAAAGCACUUUAAGUUGGGAGGAAGGGCAGUAAGCUAAUACCUUGCUGUUUUGACGUUACCGACAGAAUAAGCACCGGCUAACUCUGUGCCAGCCGCCGCAGUAA